GGGGCAUCGAGUUUCACUCCCAACCCCUGUGACAUACCAAUUGUUGCCUCGGCGGAUCAGCCCGCUCCCGGUAAAACGGGACGGCCCGCCAGAGGACCCCUAAACUCUGUUUCUAUAUGUAACUUCUGAGUAAAACCAUAAAUAAAUCAAAACUUUCAACAACGGAUCUCUUGGUUCUGGCAUCGAUGAAGAACGCAGCAAAAUGCGAUAAGUAAUGUGAAUUGCAGAAUUCAGUGAAUCAUCGAAUCUUUGAACGCACAUUGCGCCCGCCAGUAUUCUGGCGGGCAUGCCUGUUCGAGCGUCAUUUCAACCCUCAAGCCCAGCUUGGUGUUGGGACUCGCGAGUCAAAUCGCGUUCCCCAAAUUGAUUGGCGGUCACGUCGAGCUUCCAUAGCGUAGUAGUAAAACCCUCGUUACUGGUAAUCGUCGCGGCCACGCCGUUAAACCCCAACUUCUGAAUGUUGACCUCGGAUCAGGUAGGAAUACCCGCUGAACUUAAGCAUAUCAAUAAGCGGGAGGAAAAGCCGGGCGC
RNAcentral lists this ribosomal RNA (531 nucleotides) under Fusarium sp. CC2. Its description in RNAcentral is "eukaryotic LSU rRNA". The stretch from base 151 to 304 matches the Rfam family "5.8S ribosomal RNA". Lineage: Eukaryota; Fungi; Ascomycota; Sordariomycetes; Hypocreales; Nectriaceae. The record is from RNAcentral.